UUUGGGACUCGAUAAAUACAGGUAUGUUACUUUAGUUCAUAACAUUCAACAACGGCAUAGAGUACAGAGAGCAAAAGGGCAAACAUGUUUCUAUUGUUUGCAUUACAAUUUACAAGCUGAAGAUCACAACGUAGGAUUAGAACAACCUAACCAUGUCUUAAUAGCUUCUGAGGUUAAAGAAACCUGUACUCUACACAUAGCCAUAGCCUUCGUUGCCUGUUCAUAGUAUAUAAGACGAAGACAGUUUCUGGUUAGGACAGCAGUGGUUACCAUCGGAUUCAGAUAGAGAUAUUUGGUAACAAAAAGUUAUAAUUUGAAAUUACCUGAAGCUCCCAAUUUAUGCGCAGUGUAAUAAGUAUAUAAAGUAAUGCCAGAUAUCUUGUAGAAGAGGAUAACUUUAUACUACUUUCUAUAGCGGAUGUAAUAUUUGCAAGUGAGAAACUUAUUACCUUUCCUCCAAAGUGGAAGAUAAAAGUUAUAUAAUGAUAGCGCAAGGAAGUCCAAGAACAUAGUUAUCUUGUCAAUUUUCAUACAAUAUCGGGUAUUGAUCACAAAAAUAUAUAUAAAAGUAAUGGAUAUUAUUUAAAC
Molecule: long non-coding RNA, 588 nt
Filed under: Nicotiana tabacum (common tobacco)
Lineage: Eukaryota; Viridiplantae; Streptophyta; Magnoliopsida; Solanales; Solanaceae
Description: long non-coding RNA (NTAB_LNC019628)
Source: RNAcentral